AACGAACGCUGGCGGCAGGCCUAACACAUGCAAGUCGAACGCCCUAGCAAUAGGGAGUGGCAGACGGGUGAGUAACGCGUGGGAACGUGCCUUUCGGUUCGGAAUAACUCAGGGAAACUUGAGCUAAUACCGGAUACGCCCUUCGGGGGAAAGAUUUAUUGCCGAAAGAUCGGCCCGCGUCCGAUUAGCUAGUUGGUGAGGUAAAGGCCCACCAAGGCGACGAUCGGUAGCCGGUCUGAGAGGAUGAUCAGCCACACUGGGACUGAGACACGGCCCAGACUCCUACGGGAGGCAGCAGUGGGGAAUAUUGGACAAUGGGCGCAAGCCUGAUCCAGCCAUGCCGCGUGAGUGAUGAAGGCCCUAGGGUUGUAAAGCUCUUUCGCCAGGGACGAUAAUGACGGUACCUGGAUAAGAAGCCCCGGCUAACUUCGUGCCAGCCGCCGCCGUAA
Molecule: ribosomal RNA, 449 nt
Filed under: uncultured bacterium
Lineage: Bacteria
Description: partial 16S ribosomal RNA
Rfam family: Bacterial small subunit ribosomal RNA
Source: RNAcentral